This 74-nucleotide microRNA precursor is filed under the name Tupaia belangeri (northern tree shrew). RNAcentral describes it as "miRNA (ENSTBEG00000020599.1)". The record is from RNAcentral. Lineage: Eukaryota; Metazoa; Chordata; Mammalia; Scandentia; Tupaiidae.
CAGCCAUCCUGGUUUGCCUGGGGCUGAGGGUUUACCAGGCGGUGAAACUUCCAGUGUUGAAAACUGGAACAGUU